CCUACGGGAGGCUGCAGUGGGGAAUUUUGCGCAAUGGGCGAAAGCCUGACGCAGCAACGCCGCGUGGGUGAUGAAGGUCUUCGGAUCGUAAAACCCUGUCGUUGGGGACGAAGGUGGGGGCGUUAAUAGCGUUUCUGCUUGACGGUACCCGGAGAGGAAGCCCCGGCUAACUCUGUGCCAGCAGCCGCGGUAAUACAGAGGGGGCAAGCGGUACUCGGAAGUCUUGGGGGCGGAGGGCGAGUAGGGGGGUGUAAUCCCCGAGCUCAACUUGGGAACUGCAUCUGAGACUGGAAGGCUAGAGUACUGGAGAGGGUGGUGGAAUUCCUCGUGUAGCGGUGAAAUGCGUAGAGAUGAGGAGGAACACCAGUGGCGAAGGCGGCCACCUGGACAGUAACUGACGCUGAGGCGCGAAAGUUUGGGUAGCAAACAGGAUUAGAUACCCUGGUAGUC
Molecule: ribosomal RNA, 450 nt
Filed under: uncultured bacterium
Lineage: Bacteria
Description: partial 16S ribosomal RNA
Rfam family: Bacterial small subunit ribosomal RNA
Source: RNAcentral